This 117-nucleotide ribosomal RNA is filed under the name Texcoconibacillus texcoconensis. The record is from RNAcentral. Lineage: Bacteria; Bacillati; Bacillota; Bacilli; Caryophanales; Bacillaceae.
UCUGGUGGCGAUAGCGAAGAGGUCACACCCGUUCCCAUGCCGAACACGGAAGUUAAGCUCUUCAGCGCCGAUGGUAGUUGGGGGCUCUCCCCCUGUGAGAGUAGGACGCCGCCAGGC